AUUCAUUGGGUUUAAAGGGUGCGUAGGUGGAAUUGUAAGUCGAUGGUGAAAGCCUACGGCUUAUCUGUAGAAUUGCCAUUGAUACUGCUAUUCUUGAGUACAGUUGAGGGAAGUGGAAUGUGUAAUGUAGCGGUGAAAUGCUUAGAUAUUACGCAGAGCACCGAUUGCGUAAGCAGCUUCCUAAACUGUAUACUGACGCUGAGGCACGAAAGCGUGGAGAGCGAACAGGAUUAGAUACCGUGGUAGUCCACGCUGUAAACUAUGAUCCCUUGGUGGUGGGGAAACUUUGUUAGCGAGUGAACGAAAAGAUUUAGUGAUCCCCCUGGGGAAGUUGGCCGCCAGGGAGGAAAUUCAAGGAAUUGAAGGGGGGCCGGACCAGCGGGGGAACCUGUGGUUUAAUUUGGUGAUUCGCGAAGAACCUUUCCUGGGGUUAAAUGCUGAACGGCGUUCCGGGAAAAUGGUACUCCCUUUGGGGCGGAAUGCCAGGUGCUGCAUGGUUGUUGUUAGCUCGUGCCGUGAAGUGUUGGGUUUAAUUCCAUAACGAGGGCAACCCUCUUUUUUAGUUGCCCGCGAGUAAUGUCGGGGACUUUAAGGAAACUGCCGAUGUAAACCGUGAGGAAGGUGGGGAUGACGUCAAAUCAGCACGGCCCUUAUGUCCAGGGCUACACACGUGUUACAAUGGCCGGUACAAAGGGCAGCUACCACGCGAGUGGAAGCUAAUCUCUAAAACCGGUCUCAGUUCGGAUUGAAGUCUGCAACUCGACUUCAUGAAG
RNAcentral lists this ribosomal RNA (773 nucleotides) under uncultured organism. RNAcentral describes it as "bacterial SSU rRNA". It matches the Rfam family "Bacterial small subunit ribosomal RNA", at positions 549 to 1325 of the family's 1533-position model. The record is from RNAcentral.